AGGACGAACGCUGGCGGCGUGCUUAACACAUGCAAGUCGAACGGAAGUAGAAAUACUUUAGUGGCGGACGGGUGAGUAACGCGUGAGCAACCUGCCCUUAUCAGGGGACAACACAGAGAAAUUUGUGCUAAUACCGCAUAAUGUUACGGAUAGGCAUCUAACUGUAACCAAAGAAUUAUCGGAUAAGGAUGGGCUCGCGUCCCAUUAGGUAGUUGGUGAGGUAACGGCCCACCAAGCCGACGAUGGGUAGCCGAUCUGAGAGGAUGAACGGCCACAUUGGAACUGAGAGACGGUCCAGACUCCUACGGGAGGCAGCAGUGGGGAAUAUUGGGCAAUGGGCGCAAGCCUGACCCAGCAACGCCGCGUGAAUGAAGAAGGUUUUCGGAUUGUAAAGUUCUGUGAUGGGGGACGAAGAAAGUGACGGUACCCCAAUAGCAAGCUACGGCUAACUACGUGCCAGCCGCCGC
This 467-nucleotide ribosomal RNA is filed under the name uncultured bacterium. Its description in RNAcentral is "bacterial SSU rRNA". It matches the Rfam family "Bacterial small subunit ribosomal RNA", at positions 26 to 518 of the family's 1533-position model. The record is from RNAcentral.